GGAGGAGGUAGCGACGGCCAUAUUGCCGUUUCUCGAGAGGCGAAAGAACGAUCCGAGACAGCACUGUGAAGCUGCUGAGUUUCGGGGUCCAAUCUGAAGUUUUGAACGGUCACUGCUGCGGUGAAUUCGAUUAAGUGAAUAUAUUUCGAAAAACGACCCAAUUUCAAGAGGAAAAUCUCAAUUACUUAGUUCCAAGUUUUUUAGUGAUUGUACGCGACGGUAAAUGUGCGUCGUCGUCAUCGUGUCGCGCGCGUGAACGUGCAAGUGUGUGAAGCCGGUGCGCGAUUAUGCGAUUAAAAGUGCAAGCAGGACACGGACGAUAAGGUUCUUACGAGCGUGAAUUCGCUAAUGAUCAAAAACGUCCUAGGAAAACGUCCGUAGGAACGAACACAGAUUGACCGAAAAGUGAUGUUUAAGGCUCGAACAUGAGAAAUGUCUAUGUAACGAUGUGUGCGUAAUGAAUCGCGAUUGUGAUAUCAGGUGAUCAGACGACGCGGAUCAAAAGGUAAAGCUUCUUACCGAAAUAUUUUGCGGGACCAACGGCUUCAUCAACGAAAAAACGAGAGGAACCAAGCGAGGAAGACCAGCGGGCCCCCGAAGAAGGGUGCCCUCGAGAGAAGAGUAGUCCCGACAACAGCGAAUUCGCCAGAACAUCGGACGCCUCGGUCUAUGAAGAAGGUGGUGACACUAUCAUCCGUUGAGAUGUGAUCCAGAACAUAGGAGGGACACUCAGUAGUUUGUAGUUGGUCCCCCAUCUCCCCCCUCUAUUACCUCAUCACCCCACUAGCCCCCUUGCGACCUCUACUACCUACUCUAUUUCCCCCUCUCGCCUCUCUCCGUAUACGUGCACGUGUGAUAAUCCACCGGUAAAGCAACCACCACGGGGAUCAGCAGCUUCCUUUGAAUACACCGGCUAUUGGUACCGCACAACGACAUUUCUCCUUCCCUUCUAAUACAAUCCCAACGAGUUUUUUUAUCGCCCGCUCUUCUUCAAACAACGUGCCAUAUCAACCCUCAGCAACCUGUGAUAUAAUACUCGAUGUCUAAAUAUUUACAUAGACAUAAACACCUAGUCGAAGACUAAAAUCAGGCUGAAGGUUUCAUCAGAUUCAAUAUCAAAAGAGAACUGAAAUUCCUAAGACAACGAGAACUUAGCCCGACCAGAAUACGUUCUUUAAGCGGAUUUAAUAUUACGACGAGAAAAGAGAAACGAAAGACGGCGCUGGAGAAUGUCGACGUGCACCGACGAGGCCGAUAAUGCACCCUGCACUCUGUCUCCGCGCCACCCGUUGCGCGAAAUAACGAGGAUGGUGGACCGCAGGGAUUAUUACCAGUCGUGAAGAACAGAAUUUCUGGGACGUCCCUGACACGUCAAGGUCUAAAUGAUGUACGAGUCUGUUCGUGUACGAUAAUCUGUCAAUUCCAUUAUUAAUGCUAAAGAAAUCACGAUUACGAGUUAUGUUUUAAAAUAUCGAAUACCUCGAAAAUAAUGUACAUUCCAAGAGUUAAGAAUUAAUUUUAAUAAAAAUGGGAAAAUUCUAAAAUAUGAGCUAAUUUUCUGAAUAAAUUAUUCUCAGAUAAGAUUAUUAUAUUUUGUUAUUUGCUACUUCAUUUUACAUGCUGCUUAUAUUUUUGGUAUUUCAGCGCAAUUUCUGCUAUAUUCAUUAAUAGCACGAUAUUUCUUGUACUCCAAAUUUUUCGAUAAUAGAAAUUUAAUUUGUUUAAAAAAUUUGUCAUAGACAUUUUACUUUCAAUUGUGAUAUUUAAUGCAAAUUAACUUCAAAUGCAAUAACAAGAUAGCCUUCGAGGUCAAAGGAGCGCUUUCAUGAAAAUUCAAUUCAAAUCGCUGCAGGUAGCUUCAAAGUUUUUGUAGCUUCAAAGAAUCUCUCGAAAGUGAAAUGCAUUGAUCAGCUCCGUUACUCGUUCUACAAUGAAAAGGGUGAAUAAGUAUGGGGCGUAAGUCGUUCUACGAGAAUCUUAAUAGCUCGAUGGAUUAUGGAUAAAUCCCUACAGAAUAAUUAUAGAUUAUAGAUCCAUUUUGCGCGACGUUCGUAACUUCUAUUAAAUAUUUAUUAAAUAGAUUGAAUAUUUCGAGACCAAAGAGCUUUGAGUUUUUCGAUCUCUUGUUUUAUCCAAUAAUAAAAAGAAAAACAGUAAUUACAACGCAAAUAAUAUGGUAACUUAAAAUCUAUCAAAAGAAUAAAAUUUCUUUUUUCUUUGUCCCUUUUUUCAAUAACAUAUGAUAUUUAAAUAAGAAAAAAUGAUUACGCAAUCAUUUAUGUAACAUUGUUAUAUUUACGUCAGUGGCAUUUAAAUAGCACUAUAAGAACAGAAAAUUUUUCAAUAAGGUAAAAUAUUUAAAUGAGAAAAAGUUUUGACGCGAGAAAAAUUACAAGGAUUUAAGAUACUAUCGAUGAACGUCAUAUGAAAGUCGUAUGAAGAUCAAUAAAAAAGUCAUUUGCAUCUUGCUCUCCUUAAACCGUUGCGUGCGGAUGUGCGCUCGAUAAAUCUCGUGAAAAGACGAAAAUAAGGACCGUUUCGCACCUGCGCCUGGCGCCUUUUAAUACGCGGUUAAAAUCCGUUUACGACAAGCAUCGCAAGUGCGUGAGCAUACCGGGUGUUCAAGUAAUCGUGUAAAUAUUAUCGCGUUUCCGGAUCGAAAGAAAAUAUCCAGGUGUGACUUCACAGUACCGAGAUGUGGAUGAGCGCGUUUGAAUUUUCAGUUAUUGUGGAUGCGUAGGGACGCGCCGAUGUUGUUGUCACUAACGAAAUUCUUUCCCGACGGAGCGAUACAUUAUUAAUCGUCCUUUCGUCUCUUCGUGUAUGCGUCGGAGCCUACCUAUCUACCUGUGGACAAGACUGGCUACGACGAAGGAAAAGAUUCACCGUGCGCGAUGAUGACUCUUCAGAUUUCUCAUACCUGAUGAUCAAACGAAGAGAACCUUCGUCGAUGAUCGCGCCGUUCAUUAUGGAGAUAAGAAGUAAAGGCUCUUUAAUAGAAUUCCGGAGCGACUGGUCAUUUUGUAUCUUCAUUAACUUUUUCGUUAACCGAUUCAUUAUUGGGCGGUAGGCAAAA
This 3076-nucleotide unclassified non-coding RNA is filed under the name Pogonomyrmex barbatus (red harvester ant). RNAcentral describes it as "protein grainyhead, transcript variant X2". Lineage: Eukaryota; Metazoa; Arthropoda; Insecta; Hymenoptera; Formicidae. The record is from RNAcentral.